Molecule: ribosomal RNA, 454 nt
Filed under: uncultured delta proteobacterium
Lineage: Bacteria; Deltaproteobacteria
Description: bacterial SSU rRNA
Rfam family: Bacterial small subunit ribosomal RNA
Source: RNAcentral
UACAGUGCGCACGGGUGAGUAACACGUGGGUAACCUGCCCUCGAGCGGGGGAUAACAUUCCGAAAGGAGUGCUAAUACCAGCAUAAGACCACGACCUCGAAAGAGGAUGGGGUAAAAGCUGGCCUCUAUACAUAAGCUAGCACUUGAGGAUGGGCCCGAGGCGCAUCAGGUAGUUGGUGAGGUAAUGGCUCACCAAGCCGGAGACGCGUAGCUGGUCUGAGAGGAUGAUCAGCCACACUGGAACUGAGACACGGUCCAGACUCCUACGGGAGGCAGCAGUGGGGAAUCUUGCGCAAUGGGCGAAAGCCUGACGCAGCGACGCCGCGUGAGUGAUGAAGGCCUUCGGGUUGUAAAGCUCUGUGGGGAGAGACGAAUAAGUGCAGCCUAAUACGUUGCAUGAUGACGGUAUCUCCUUAGCAAGCACCGGCUAACUCUGUGCCAGCAGCCGCGGUAA